AAUGGAGGAAACUCUGAUGCAGCAACGCCGCGUGAGGGAAGAAGGUUUUCGGAUUGUAAACCUCUGUUUUCGGUGAAGAAAAAAAUGACGGUAGCCGAAGAGGAAGCCACGGCUAACUACGUGCCAGCAGCCGCGGUAAUACGUAGGUGGCAAGCGUUGUCCGGAUUUACUGGGUGUAAAGGGUGCGCAGGCGGGACUGCAAGUUGGAUGUGAAAUGCCGGGGCUUAACCCCGGAGCUGCAUCCAAAACUGUAGUUCUUGAGUGAAGUAGAGGUAAGCGGAAUUCCGAGUGUAGCGGUGAAAUGCGUAGAUAUUCGGAGGAACACCAGUGGCGAAGGCGGCUUACUGGGCUUUAACUGACGCUGAGGCACGAAAGCAUGGGGAGCAAA
RNAcentral lists this ribosomal RNA (388 nucleotides) under uncultured bacterium. RNAcentral's name for it is "bacterial SSU rRNA". It matches the Rfam family "Bacterial small subunit ribosomal RNA", at positions 370 to 772 of the family's 1533-position model. The record is from RNAcentral.